Molecule: ribosomal RNA, 458 nt
Filed under: uncultured bacterium
Lineage: Bacteria
Description: partial 16S ribosomal RNA
Rfam family: Bacterial small subunit ribosomal RNA
Source: RNAcentral
CUACGGGACGCAGCAGUCGAGAAUCUUCGGCAAUGGACGAAAGUCUGACCGAGCGACGCCGCGUGCGGGAUGAAGGCCUUCGGGUUGUAAACCGCUGUCAGUUGGGAGGAAAGCCAAGGGCUCACUCUUGGUUUGACCUAUCUUCAGAGGAAGUACGGGCUAAGUUCGUGCCAGCAGCCGCGGUAAGACGAACCGUACAAACGUUAUUCGGAAUCACUGGGCUUAAAGGGUGCGUAGGCGGCCAAGUAAGUAGGGUGUGAAAUCCCACGGCUCAACCGUGGAACUGCGCUCUAUACUGCUUGGCUAGAGGAAGACAGAGGCGAGCGGAACUGAUGGUGGAGCGGUGAAAUGCGUUGAUAUCAUCAGGAACACCAGUUGCGAAAGCGGCUCGCUGGGUCUUUUCUGACGCUCAGGCACGAAAGCUAGGGGAGCGAACGGGAUUAGAUACCCUCGUAGUC